Molecule: ribosomal RNA, 253 nt
Filed under: uncultured bacterium
Lineage: Bacteria
Description: partial 16S ribosomal RNA
Rfam family: Bacterial small subunit ribosomal RNA
Source: RNAcentral
UACGAAGGGGGCUAGCGUUGCUCGGAAUCACUGGGCGUAAAGCGCACGUAGGCGGACUCUUAAGUCAGGGGUGAAAUCCUGGAGCUCAACUCCAGAACUGCCUUUGAUACUGGGAGUCUUGAGUUCGGGAGAGGUGAGUGGAACUGCGAGUGUAGAGGUGAAAUUCGUAGAUAUUGGGAAGAACACCGGUGGCGAAGGCGGCGACCUGGUCCGAUACUGACGCUGAGGCGCGAAAGCGUGGGGAGCAAACAGG